CCUACGGGAGGCAGCAGUGGGGAAUUUUGGACAAUGGGCGCAAGCCUGAUCCAGCCAUGCCGCGUGCAGGAUGAAGGCCUUCGGGUUGUAAACUGCUUUUGUACGGAACGAAAAGACUCUGGUUAAUACCUGGGGUCCAUGACGGUACCGUAAGAAUAAGCACCGGCUAACUACGUGCCAGCAGCCGCGGUAAUACGUAGGGUGCGAGCGUUAAUCGGAAUUACUGGGCGUAAAGCGUGCGCAGGCGGUUAUAUAAGACAGAUGUGAAAUCCCCGGGCUCAACCUGGGAACUGCAUUUGUGACUGUAUAGCUAGAGUACGGCAGAGGGGGAUGGAAUUCCGCGUGUAGCAGUGAAAUGCGUAGAUAUGCGGAGGAACACCGAUGGCGAAGGCAAUCCCCUGGGCCUGUACUGACGCUCAUGCACGAAAGCGUGGGGAGCAAACAGGAUUAGAUACCCUGGUAGUCCACGCCCUAAACGAUGUCAACUGGUUGUUGGGUCUUCACUGACUCAGUAACGAAGCUAACGCGUGAAGUUGACCGCCUGGGGAGUACGGCCGCAAGGUUGAAACUCGAAAAGAGUAGUAGGCGUGAGAGUAGCGACGGAGGACACGAGGGAGGUUAGGG
This 624-nucleotide ribosomal RNA is filed under the name uncultured bacterium. RNAcentral describes it as "bacterial SSU rRNA". It matches the Rfam family "Bacterial small subunit ribosomal RNA", at positions 338 to 956 of the family's 1533-position model. The record is from RNAcentral.